RNAcentral lists this long non-coding RNA (460 nucleotides) under Helianthus annuus (common sunflower). RNAcentral's name for it is "hypothetical non coding rna". Lineage: Eukaryota; Viridiplantae; Streptophyta; Magnoliopsida; Asterales; Asteraceae. The record is from RNAcentral.
GUGUAUAGUCUAACCCACGAAACCCCCUUCCUCCUUGUCUCGUUUCCCACACACCCACCUUGUUAAUUGAGGAAAGAACAGCAGAGAGAGAGAGAGAACAGACGAUGAGAGAGAGAGAGAGAGAGAGAGAGAGGGAGUAGCAGACGGAAAGAGUUGAGAUGAGAAGGAAAGCCUCAAUGGCGGUGGCGCCGACAACAGCGGCCGCACCGGCGACGGCAGCGACAGCAGAAAAAGACACAUGGAUGAUGACGAUGAGGACUUAUGAUGAUGACCGAUGAUUAUGUUGGUGGUGGUUCUCCGACGAAUCAAUAGUGUCGGCGACGAUGAUACCGGCAACAAUGGUGGAGGUUUGUCUUAGCUCAGUUAGGGUUCCAGUCUUGGUUACGGGUCUCGGUUCAAAAAGGGAAACGGCGGCAGCACCUACGUACACACCCUUGGAGUGAAUUAGAGGAUGUAUCGU